AAAAAUAUACAUAUUUCAUAUCUCAAUAUAACAAGAUGAACAAUGAAAUGCCAUCAAAAUUAAUACAUCAAGUUAUAAAUUCAUAAUUACAACUUGUACAUUCAUCAAAACAACCAUUUAAAAUUCUCUAAACGCAAUUAUUUGAUACUUCUACAACAUGGAAAGAAAUAUAAAACUUGUUAGAUAUAAACUCAUUAAGGUUUUUAAGUUUUAUCGGUAUAAACGUAGGAAUUCUUGAAGAACAUAAAGGGGAUGAAGAAUUCAAACACACAAACGUUUUAAUGAGUUCGCAGGUUUGUAAGGGCGAAACAUACAAACUUAUCAAUGUAAUCAUACAUUCGUAUCUAUAACAUAUGUAACAGAUACAAAAGUAUGAACUAUCUAUAUGUUCGUGUCUUAUCAAUACUUUCUUGUGAAUUCAUCAAGAACACAUGAGACAUGAACAACAUGAAGAACCUAGAAGAUAUAUAAACAAACUUACAAAUAUCUAUAUGUUCGUAUGAGAUAGUGAAACAAACGUACCACCAACGCCUACGUUCGUCCUAAUGGGUCGUGAACACAACGACCGCAUCGACAAGGAAAACGAAUGAAUUACCACGUCAUGCAUUCUUCUAGGUGACGUGAACAAAACAUUUGUAUGAGGCAGUGAAACAAAUGUACCGCCACGACAGGUGUUCGUCUCGGUGGGACAUGAACAAAACGUCUGUAUCUGAGACAAUCCAUAAAAAAUUAACAACGAACAUAAUGAAGAACAUAAAAAAUCAAGAACAACCAAAUCCAAAAGAACACAAAGAACAUGAGGUUAAAAGAUAGCUCACCUACCUUUCCGAAAUUUUUGUUUCUUCGUGCAAAGAUCCGUCAAAACAAACCUAAAUCGAUCAUCAAUUCAAAGAAAUCGAGAGAGAAAAACUCAGAGCAACCAAAACCAUAAAAACUCGAAGAAUAUGAAGAACAAGAGCAAGAAAUGAAGAUAACCCAUAUUUUCGAGGUUUGUUUACACUCUUCUAUUGUUUUUCUUGUGCAAAGAUCCAUCUUGAUAGUUCUAAGAUCCAUCUUGAAGAGUAAAAAAUGAAUUCCAAUCUAACAUUCAUUCAAAAAAAUUCAGAGGAAAAAGGGCAGAAACUAGAAAGAGAAGUGGAAAAAAGUUUGAAUCUGGAAAUUUUGAAUUAGAAAGAGGAAUAUAUGAGUGGUUAAGGUAUUUAUAAUAUUCAUUUCUAUUUUUUAAUAUCCUCUCGUAUGUUUACCGGAUGCGAACAUGUUUUCUCGUGUGCUUUUCGGAUACGAACG
This 1287-nucleotide long non-coding RNA is filed under the name Linum usitatissimum (flax). RNAcentral's name for it is "long non-coding RNA (LUSI_LNC002774)". The record is from RNAcentral. Lineage: Eukaryota; Viridiplantae; Streptophyta; Magnoliopsida; Malpighiales; Linaceae.